UCUAAUAUGGCAGAAUAGUGCAAUAAAUUUAGGAUUUAUUUAUAUAUUUAUUAAUAUUAAUUAGA
Molecule: transfer RNA, 65 nt
Filed under: Cryptophyllium westwoodii
Lineage: Eukaryota; Metazoa; Arthropoda; Insecta; Phasmatodea; Phylliidae
Description: tRNA-Leu
Source: RNAcentral